UAGGGAAUCUUCCACAAUGGGCGAAAGCCUGAUGGAGCAACGCCGCGUGUGUGAUGAAGGGUUUCGGCUCGUAAAACACUGUUGUAAGAGAAGAAUGACAUUGAGAGCAACUGUUCAAUGUGUGACGGUAUCUUACCAGAAAGGAACGGCUAAAUACGUGCCAA
This 164-nucleotide ribosomal RNA is filed under the name uncultured bacterium. RNAcentral describes it as "partial 16S rRNA". It matches the Rfam family "Bacterial small subunit ribosomal RNA", at positions 355 to 511 of the family's 1533-position model. The record is from RNAcentral.